UCUUGGUCAUUUAGAGGAAGUAAAAGUCGUAACAAGGUUUCCGUAGGUGAACCUGCGGAAGGAUCAUUAUCAAACAUGGAAUAUCUCAUUCUUAAACCCACUCUGAGUACCUGUACUUGUUGCUUCCGUGGGCAGUGAACAGUAUGUUUGCGCCUGCCCAUAUAUGGUGGACCCAUGGGAGAUAUCAUUAAACCCUGCAUUUCAUGAUGCCAGUCUGAUCAUGUUUAUUCAUUAAACGUUAAAACUUUCAACAACGGAUCUCUUGGUUCUCGCAUCGAUGAAGAACGCAGCGAAAUGCGAUAAGUAGUGUGAAUUGCAGAAUUCCGUGAAUCAUCGAAUCUUUGAACGCACAUUGCGCCUCCCGGCGUUCCGGGAGGCAUGCCUGUUCGAGCGUCAUAAAGAAAAACCUCAAGCUUNGAAUUCAUUCAUGACUUGGUAUUGGUAUUGGGGUGGACUCGAGCCAUUCCUAUCCGAAAUUCAAUGGCAAGGUUGUCUGUACCAACAAGUGUAGUAAUCGACAUUAUGUUUCACCGUUGUACGGAUCAACAUUCGCCGUUAACCCCUCAUUUCAAGUGUUUGACCUCGGAUCAGGCAGGGAUACCCGCUGAACUUAAGCAUAUCAAUAAGCGGAGGAA
Molecule: ribosomal RNA, 635 nt
Filed under: uncultured Pulvinula
Lineage: Eukaryota; Fungi; Ascomycota; Pezizomycetes; Pezizales; Pyronemataceae
Description: eukaryotic LSU rRNA
Rfam family: 5.8S ribosomal RNA (bases 243-396)
Source: RNAcentral